Chlorocebus sabaeus (green monkey) is the source of this 1635-nucleotide long non-coding RNA. RefSeq lists it as uncharacterized. The record is from RefSeq and is a predicted model, not a curated record. NCBI's taxonomy places the organism in Eukaryota, Metazoa, Chordata, Mammalia, Primates, Cercopithecidae.
AUUAAACUUGUCAAUAGUUUUCCAGUGAUGGCCUUCCCUAGCUUUGUUUCUUUAAAAAUAUUUUUUCAAGUAUCACUGCACACAUAUUUCUUUUCCCCAAAACCUAGCACCCUUAUGUCCUUAACACCUAGCUUAGUGUCUGCCAUAUUCCAGGUGCCUAAUGAACAUUUGUGGGAUGGCUAAAUGAAGGAAUUAAUGUAUAAAUACAUGAAAGCAACUUUCACAGUGUUUCCAGCUUCUCCUUCCCCUUCUUAGCCAUCAGUGAAAUAAAAUAUAUAAAUGAGGAUCAAUUAAGUUAGCUUCAACUAGCACGUACAAGAAAAGCAAGGCAAAACUCUAAACACUAAUAUGAAAGAAGAAAAAGAUCAUUAGGAAGGCAGCUAAUAAUGAAAAUGAGGUCCCAGCUAACAUUAAGCUCUCCUAUGCCUAGCCCAGAUUUCUGGAUAGGGGCCCCACUGCCCCUUCUUAGAGAGCCCUGCUCUCCUAUCUUCUGGAGAAGCAGGUUGGGGAGUGAGCAUGGGAGUUUACUCUAGAACUUGGAUUGAAGGAGUAUGGUCCCUCUCAUCUCUACCCAGGGCCCCUACAUCUGGCAGAGUCAGCCCCAGGGGUGAAUGUGUCUUCUGUUCAGUAUGCACAUGGGUACAUUGAUGAGGGGCACCUGACAGGCUGGAGGCCCUUCGACCUUUAACCAAAACUAUGACUGCAGCAAACUGCUAUUGACUUCAUUCACUGGAGAGCUUGCCCAGAGACUUCCAGGAACAGGUAACUGCCUCUGACACCCCUUACUCCACUCCCAGCACCACCUCCCAACCUUUCGCAUCUCCUUCCAACAUGUCCUGGCCAUAAAGUACUCCCAAUGUGCCCCCAAACCAGGAUUUUAUUCCACUCCAACUAUCAUCUGUGUACCCUCUAUUUCUCUCAAUCCUGUAUUCACAUCAUUUCAACCUGUUCCCAUUCUUUCAUCUCCCACAGUAUUUCUUUCCUGCUGGUGUUUUCAAUACCAGCAUCAUCCAUCGUGUUCCUCCUGCAGUUCACCCAACACUUCCAAUACCUAUUCUUCCUUACUGGCUUGGAUACCAUUAAGGAAUGACUGUGAAUGCUGUGGAGCCCGGUGUUGUGUACAUGGGGAUUAUGAAGCAUUUCUCUCAGCCGUACCGCUUCUUCUUCUGGCUUGUCAGCUUCUUCAUGAAGGAUCUCAAAUAAAGUGUAUUCCCAGUCCUCUACUUGAGCUUGGCAGAGGAGCAGGAUGGUAUUUCUGGAAAAUAUUUCAGCAGUUCCUGUGUGAUAACUCUUCCCAUUAAAGCCUCUCAGGAUCCUCAUGUUGCCCAGAGCCUCUGUAAUGCCUCAGUUUGACUGACAAGCCUAGUCAAGACGGACUGACCCUCUGUGACCUCUGCCCUAACUUGCCACCCUUCCUCUAACUUCCAGCACUUACUCUGAUUAUGCCCUUUGUUUGCUGGCUUCUAGGACCAAUCAUUGUCCAAUAUAAUAACCACUUCCUCUGCCUAUUGGCUUACUGAUGACUUGAAAGCCAAGAAUAGUCAGGGGCCAGCUGUAAUCCCAAUGCUUUGGGAGGCCGAGGUGGGCAGACUGCUUGAGCUCAGGAGUUCAUGACCAGCCUGAGCAACUUGGUGA